This 436-nucleotide long non-coding RNA is filed under the name Coturnix japonica (Japanese quail). RNAcentral's name for it is "lncRNA (ENSCJPG00005003639.1)". Lineage: Eukaryota; Metazoa; Chordata; Aves; Galliformes; Phasianidae. The record is from RNAcentral.
AUACUUUCAGCUUUCCAAGGAGAAACUGCUCAUCAUGUGCUGCUGUAACCUAAGGCCAACGCUCUCAAAACCAGAUACAUAAGGAUAUCAGUGUUGCUGUGUGUUUCCUUCUUACGCCCCUCCUGCAGAAAGCCUUCUGAGUGUUCUCCAGAUAGAAAAGCCCUCCCUGCCUGCACUUUCCCAACACUGGCGCUCCAAGGUACACAAGGUGAAAAGCAUGCCAUACCCAACAGGUCAAAAAGCCUGCUCCCUGGUUCUUUGGCUACACGGAAGUCUAAGCUGCAGUGAGCUCAUCUCUCCAGCCCUGAAACCAGCCCCAUAUGCCAGGUAUGAGCUGCCAUGAGAAAUCACUUACUCACCUACCUGGUGCAUCUCUUAGCAGCUGAGCUGCAUUGCACUCGCUAGCAAGAGGCAUAUUGUUUGCUAAGGCUGUUAA